CGAAAGCCUGACGGAGCAACGCCGCGUGAGGGAAGACGGUCUGUGGAUUGUAAACCUCUUUUCUCAAGGAAGAAGAACUGACGGUACUUGAGGAAUCAGCAUCGGCUAACUCCGUGCCAGCAGCCGCGGUAAUACGGAGGAGGCAAGCGUUAUCCGGAAUUAUUGGGCGUAAAGCGUCCGUAGGUGGCUGUUCAAGUCUGCUGUCAAAGACCGGGGCUUAACUCCGGAAAGGCAGUGGAAACUGAAAAGCUAGAGUGCGGUAGGGGUAGAGGGAAUUCCCGGUGUAGCGGUGAAAUGCGUAGAGAUCGGGAAGAACACCGGUGGCGAAAGCGCUCUACUGGGCCUGCACUGACACUGAGGGACGAAAGCUAGGGGAGCG
RNAcentral lists this ribosomal RNA (379 nucleotides) under uncultured Halospirulina sp. RNAcentral's name for it is "bacterial SSU rRNA". It matches the Rfam family "Bacterial small subunit ribosomal RNA", at positions 376 to 770 of the family's 1533-position model. Lineage: Bacteria; Bacillati; Cyanobacteriota; Cyanophyceae; Spirulinales; Spirulinaceae. The record is from RNAcentral.